UACGGAGGGUGCAAGCAUUAAUCGGAUUUAUUGGGCGUAAAGGGCGCGUAGGCGGGAAUGUAAGUCAGAUGUGAAAUCCCGGGGCUCAACCCCGGAACAGCAUUUGAAACUGUGUUUCUUGAGGGUAGGAGGAGAAAACGGAAUUCCACAUGUAGCGGUGAAAUGCGUAGAUAUGUGGAAGAACACCUGUGGCGAAGGCGGUUUUCUAUCUUAUACCUGACGCUAAAGCGCGAAAGCAAGGGGAUCAAACAGG
This 253-nucleotide ribosomal RNA is filed under the name uncultured bacterium. RNAcentral describes it as "partial 16S ribosomal RNA". It matches the Rfam family "Bacterial small subunit ribosomal RNA", at positions 524 to 776 of the family's 1533-position model. The record is from RNAcentral.